This is a long non-coding RNA of Xenia sp. Carnegie-2017, 2181 nucleotides long. RefSeq lists it as uncharacterized. Lineage: Eukaryota; Metazoa; Cnidaria; Anthozoa; Malacalcyonacea; Xeniidae. The record is from RefSeq and is a predicted model, not a curated record. The transcript is spliced from 10 exons.
CUCAGUACAUUUUUCUCGGGAAGGAAAGACAACAAAAUAAAUAUUUAGAAAGACAUUGAAACCAUUACUUCUGACUAUGAAAUAGAGAAUUAUGAGAGCUAUGGAAGUGGUGAAGAAAACGAGAAAUCUUCACAAAAUGUUGAAAGCAAUUGCACAGAAGAGCAGGUUGAAAUGAAUGGGAUCAUCCUUUUAUGAUGUCAAGCUCAUUUUUGGUUACUUUUUGGGCAAAGAUCUUUUUGGAAGAAGGUCUUAUUGACAUGAACAUGUCUGGUUCAAAGAGAAUUGUUGAUUUGUCUGGUUGGGAUUCACUGUUCGUUCACACAUACAAGUUUAUAAGAAGAAAAGAUCUGGAAAUUCGACCAUCGAUGUUGUGGUCACAGCCUGGUGUAAGGUGUUAAGGCAGCUUGUGUAGUCGUCGACUUCGUUUAAAAGAGCGAUGAGAUAUUUUCCAACAAUCCACUCUUCGAGAGCAACUUGUACACUUCGAAGAAAUCCUGUGAGGUGAUCUGUCUCAAAAUGGGCUCUUCCAUCGAACUAAGGGUCUAUGCGUGAUCGCCCGCUAAUCUAAUCCACUUGAAAUUGCUGAGGACUUUACGUAAUUUUUUUUUCCUAUUUGCUCUGAUGUUUACAAAUGUCGACAUAGAAUUAAAUCAUCUUAAAGAAUUGUUAGACUUUUGUAGUCAUAUUUAACAAUGCUGUAAUGUUGGGACUUUACCAGGAAUUGCACAUUUCCCGUUCUUCUUAUGCAUGCAUAUUAAUGUCAAAGUUGAAAUAGAUCGUGUAUCGUCUUUGUAUGAAAUUACCAGGAACGCGUACUCUUUUUAAUUUUAUUUUUAUUCGCCUCACGAAUUUGUAGACGAACUUUCUUCACACUCGUCUUGUAAGGUCUUGUAUUUGCGAAUCUGUACAAAUGUAAACACGAGUAAAGCAUUUGUAAAUUAUGAUGAUUUUAAAACUUUAUUGUUAGGCAAACGAUUAAAUGCGUUAUGUUAGUAUAUACGAAGCUCGUCUCUACGAACGGAAGCUUAAUAAAUGUGUUUAUACGUAAUGCUUGCGAUUAGGAAUUCUUGCAAUGUUUUAUAGAAAUGAAUUUUACAAAUUCUGGUAUACAGGGGUGGGGUGACGUUGGAAGAUAUUGACGGCUUUUGUCUAACGACAUGACAUUAAACGUAUUUUGCACAAUUUGAAAUUACUUUACUAAUGUAAAGAAACAUAUUUAAUAGUUAAGAUACAGGGUUAUUGUUGAUCUUCUCAAUGUCCUUGGGUAUGAUCUUAAUGUAGCACACCACACCCCCCCCCUGCUCGUUGUCGUUCGUUAUGCAUUACGAGCUGAUUCCUGUCUGAACUGGAAUAUUGCUGUAGUUGAAAUGUGAUAAUUAAGAAGCUUAUUGAUCUUACAAAAAGUUCGUUGGACUUCAAAUCGUCUUUAAAUAUAUCACAGUGUGCUUUGAUUUGAGGGUAGCCUUCUCGACCUCUCGAUAAUUGAUCAAAAUCCAGCCAAAAGCAGCAGCAGAGAACCUUGAGGUAUUUAUAAGUAGAGUUAAAGGUCAAGAAUCCAGCCAAGUAUUUCUGAAUUUCGUGCUUCUGAGAACGAAAAUUACGAGAGGUUUUUCCCAAGAAAUAAGCAUUGAUUUUCAAUCAUAUAUGAUGAAUGCGACGUCAGGACUGGUUUAUCUGUAGUCAAAGGGGCAAAGCUACAGCAAUUUAUUGGGCUCAUGCACGAUUGUCAUAGAGUUUUGACAACGUUGUGCAUUUCUUGGAUGAUUUGAAUUCAGUAACUUUCGAAGUCGACGGGGAGGAUUUUGAAUGCACCUCGUGAAUAGCGAACAAACAUCGGGGCGGUCUUUUUGAAGUCCAUGCAUGUAGCUAAAACAGAAUAUUGAAGCAAAUGUUUGCUGUAUCGUCGAGGAAUCAAAGCUCGAUCAAAAAAAUGAAAAGAGUUUUGAGUGGCUAACAGUUUUAGUUCGACCUGAAAAAGUGAUUUACAUGACCAAUCAAAAUAAUGAAGGCACAUUCUUGAGAAUAUUGCUCCUACACAGUCUUCCUCAUUUCUCCUCAUCCUCAAUGGCGGAACAAUAAAUAAUAAGCUGAACAAUGAGGUUUUUAAAUAAAUGGAGAUUCAUCGUUUGGGUAUUACAAUGAAUAAUAAAUAAGAUCAGUUUAGAUCAAUAAUCAAUCUCG